GGGGAUAAUAUUUAAACAUACAUAGUCUUAAAUGACACAGCAGUCACCCAUGUGUAUGUUGAAAAGCCUUCAGUCACAUUUCAGAAUUCUGCUGUUGUUUAGCAAAAUCACUGGAUUAUUUUUUCCCUUCCUGGUUUAGGAUAUCAUUGAAAUAUCUUGAUAUAAUUACUACCAUAUUUUGUCAUUAGUUUGUCAUAUUCUUUAUUUCAUGGACUAACUGCCCAGAUUUUAGCUAUGCUGAAAUGAAACUUUCUCUGAAAUUUUGAUUUUAAUUCUGAGAUUGGAUGAUCCCAAAUAUAAUCUAUAGCACUGUAUAAAUUUUGAGUCUAGAAUUGUAAAGAAGCCAGAAUCUUCCAUGAGCAUGUGCAGGGUUUUACCAUAAUUCCGGAGUGGAACAAUCAGCAUUCAAAAUCACAUGAAGCUAGGCACUCUCUUCCUUGCCCCUUCCUCAAUAAAACGAUAUCCACCCAUGAGUCACAGGCCAUUCAUUUCCUUGGGCUUGGUGUUAGUUCUGCUCCUAAACUCUCAUGAACCAUCAGUGGAUAGAAAAUCAAAUUAAUACACAGGAGAGAUUAUCAUUGUAGGGGAUUUGUGGGAGCCAGACACUUUUCAUGAGAAGAGACUGUCACCUCCAAGGAUGUUAUUUGAAUCUGAAAAGAGGCGGUCAUAAAGGAAGUGGAGCUGCUUUAAUCUGCUGCUGUAGGGAGCUGCCACCCUGCUUACUGCUGGGCGGCCUCCCCCCAUAGGCAGAAUGAUCACUCCACUGGAGAAAGCAGCUGAGGUUUGCAAGCAGUUCCAAUUUUGCAGUUUCAGGAAUGUGUCGGAGCUGCAGCUUUAAGAUGGCAUUUCCCCCCCUCGCUGCUGUGGAGAGCCCCU
This 876-nucleotide long non-coding RNA is filed under the name Marmota monax (woodchuck). Lineage: Eukaryota; Metazoa; Chordata; Mammalia; Rodentia; Sciuridae. The record is from RNAcentral.